Molecule: non-coding RNA, 30 nt
Filed under: Homo sapiens (human)
Lineage: Eukaryota; Metazoa; Chordata; Mammalia; Primates; Hominidae
Source: RNAcentral
UCCUGGUGGAAGUUAGGUGCUAAUGGAGGU